Molecule: long non-coding RNA, 390 nt
Organism: Synchiropus splendidus (mandarinfish)
Lineage: Eukaryota; Metazoa; Chordata; Actinopteri; Syngnathiformes; Callionymidae
Exons: 3
Source: RefSeq, a predicted model, not a curated record
CGCCAUUUUGCUUGUACAUUUUUCAUGUGUUUUGUAUUGUUAAAUUAGACUUCAAAUAGAUGUUUAAAAACCCUGUUUUUACCUUCCAUAAAACCUCUAAGGAUGGAAAUGAUCAGUGUCUGGUUCAGGCAGUUUGGAACAGAAGUAGGACACGCUGUAGGAUGAUCAGAGAGGAAGACUGGCAGGGCUCAGGAGUGGUUUUUCCUGUACCGACGGAAAUAAGAGGACUGACCUUACGUGCUGAAAUGACUGCUUAGAGUUUCAACAGUAAAUAAAAGGCUGUGUUUACGCUCCUCGAUUCGAUAAGUCACUUUUGCCCGAGUUUCAGUGGCAAGCAGCACACUCUCAGCCAUGAUCUAUUGUGGAGUCUUUUUCAUCUUCACCUCAACA